GACGAACGCUGGCGGCGUGCCUAACACAUGCAAGUCGAGCGGGGUUGAAGCGAGAGGUAACUCGAGCUUCUACCUAGCGGCGGACGGGUGAGUAACGCGUGGGCAACCUGCCUCAAGGUUUGGGAUAACAGCCCGAAAGGGCUGCUAAUACCGGAUAUGCCUAUGGCCUCGCAUGGGGCUAUGAGCAAAGGGGAAACCCGCCUUGAGAUGGGCCCGCGUCCCAUCAGCUAGUUGGUGAGGUAACAGCUCACCAAGGCGACGACGGGUAGCCGGCCUGAGAGGGUGACCGGCCACACUGGGACUGAGACACGGCCCAGACUCCUACGGGGGCAGCAGUGGGGGAUCUUGCACAAUGGGCGAAAGCCUGAUGCAGCGACGCCGCGUGAGCGAAGAAGGCCUUCGGGUUGUAAAGCUCUGUCUGGAGGGACGAACAAAAUGACGGUACCGUCCGGAGGAAGCCACGGCUAACGUACGUCG
RNAcentral lists this ribosomal RNA (477 nucleotides) under uncultured bacterium. Its description in RNAcentral is "bacterial SSU rRNA". It matches the Rfam family "Bacterial small subunit ribosomal RNA", at positions 28 to 508 of the family's 1533-position model. The record is from RNAcentral.